AAGGGCACAGUGCUGGCUCAUGAUCAUCCUGCUGUCCACCAGGACCCCCAGGUCCCUUUCUCCUACGCUGCUCUCUAAUAGGUCAUUCCCCAACUUAUGCUGGACCCUGGGGUUGUUCCUACCCAGAUGCAAGACUCUACACUUUCCCUCAUUAUAUUUCAUUAAUUUUUUCCCCGUCCAACUCUCCAGCCUGUUCAGGUUUUGCUGGAUGGCAGCGCAGCCUUCUGGCAUGUCAGCCACUCCUCCCAGCUUGGUGUCAUCAGCAAACUUGCUGAUAGUACACUCUGUUCCCUUGUCCAAAUCAUUGAUGAAUAUAUUGAAUAAUACCGGCCCCAGUACUGACCCUUGAGGCACUUCACUAGAUACCAGCCUCCAACUAGACUCUGCCCCACUGACCACGACUCUCUGGCUUCUUCCCUUCAGCCAGUUCACAGUCCACCUCACUACCUGAUCGUGCAUACCGCACUCCCUCAGUUUAGCUGUAAGGAUGCUGUGGGAGACUGUGUCAAAAGCUUUACUGAAGUCAACGUAGACCACAUCCACCCCUCUGCCAUCACAUGCAGAUCACAUUUUCAAAGCAAAACACCAUAAUAACCACAGGAAAGACAUAAACACAUUUGCAGAGUCUACCAAGCCCAAUCAUGUAUGGGUGUUUUUCUGCAAGCUGAUAAGGAGAUAAGAAAAAAAAAUCUUAUGGGUAAGAUAUCUUGAAAUUUAGGUAUUGACAAAGUAUUUUCAGCAGAUCUCUGUAACAAUCCUGACUGUUCGGUUAUGGUAAAUGUGAUGGUGUCAUAUGUGUCAGACUGGCAAUGGCAUCAUGGUGAGAUAUGAUACGGUGGCUGCUGCUAUUGCCUCAGGCCCUUCUCAUCUGAGCCUAACUUUGCCUCCAACAACUCCUACUCUUUUUUUUUUUCUUCAGUCUCCUACAGUUGGAGAAAGAAGAGAGGAACAACUUCUUAAACAAAGUGUUCUGUAAAUGGUGAUUGCCUGUUGUUAGAGAUGGGAGACUUGAAAAAGACAAUUAGGACAUCAUGUUGUCCAUGUUGUGCAAGCUAAAAAAGAACAAAAAAUUAGAAGGUCAGAAUACUCUUCAGAAGAGUUUGCAAAACAGAAAUACAUGAUCUAAAAGAAAAAUAUUGUGAGUACUAGCACUCCAUUCCAAUGUACUUGCAUGGCAGGUACGCUUUUUUCCGUUACAUGAGCAGGAACCCUCUAGCAGUGCCAUACUUUCUCAGGUAAUUUAUUAAUGGCAGUCUAAAUUACACAUUGGCAUUUUUGGAGAAGUUUUGCUCAUGGCUCCCUGUGAUCUGGGUGAGGUGUAAACAGGUGUAGCAUGGAGAGGCUGGCCACACGGGGCAGGUAUUCUGAAGUCUGCUUUCAUUUAGGAACAAAAGACAGGCUGAAGUUAGGAGGGAGGAAAUACAUAUCACAGCUGUGCCCAAUAUCUAAUGCAUAACUUUAACACUGGCAAAAGAGGAAAUGAAAUUUGAACGUGGGGAGGGGAAGUGUCUCUAGGGAAAAGGCACAUUAAAAACAACAAGAGGAACCCAGGACAAGUCUGUUCUUGAUUUGAAGGCCCAUAGUGUAGCAGUCUGCUGAGAGGAACUGAAAGACUCUCUUUUGUAACAACAGGGGCUUUGAGUGUUGCACAACCAGCUGAGAAGCAUUCUGGGACAUCCACAAGACUUCUGUGCAUAAAUAUAGAGGAGGAGGGACUGUCUCACAGGAAGGUGUUUUUUGGUACUUAUACUACAAACCUGGUAAAAAUAACAAUGUAUUCUGGAGUCUGGAACUGAUGCUAUGACAGUGCUGGGGACAGGGGACUUAGUCACUCUCCACUCCUGAGUUUUACCUCUGCUCUUCCUCUCAUUAUUUCACAGGCCUGAGAAACAGAAAGGACUCGGAACUUGAUCUGCAGAGCUAGUGUUUGACAGCUUGCUUGAAUCGACUGGCAAAACCAGACGCCCAACACAGGGAGCAAUUGCAGGACCAUAUCUUAGCAUCUUUCAGAAUGAAAAAGCACUUGAAUAGGAAUUGGAUUAGUCUGCUUGUUUAAGUAAAGACAAUAUUUGGAGUAGUUUGCAAGGAAUAUGGAAAACUCUACUAUUAAUCCAUACAGAAGAUGACUCAGAAAAGAAACAGUUACUCUGAGAAGGCUGCAUGCAGGUUCUUGGGGGCCUGCAGUGUGAGUCCAACAUGGGCUCACUACCAGCUCAGGAAACAGGCAAAAUGGAUUAUGAAGUGAAGAGAUGCUCAUCUUUCACUCCUCACUAAAGCCCCCUGGGAGAGGCGAUGUUUCCGGACUGCUAAUGUCACAGCAUGACCUGUUAAUAACCUGCGAGAGCCUUCCUCCACUCCGCCGCCUCCCGCUCCCCCAGGACCCAGCAGCUGCCGUCACAUGGAUCAAAUGCCUGCCUUGUAUGCGGUUCAUUGAGAAAAAUUCAAGCAUGUGGCCUGAGGUUCCCCUGAUGACUGUCUGGGGAUGAUGAUUUCUACCAUCUGUUCUGGCUGCCUGCGGCUCCCGGAAACACCGAGGUGUAUGUUGCUUCUGGCCAUACGUGGGAUUCCUAAUGAAACCUCAGCUGCCGUCCAACUGUCUGCGAAUAUCAGAUGGGUUUGAAUUAUCUUUCCGCCAAGAGGGGAGGGAGAAGAAUUUUGUUUAACUCUUUAAUCUGAACCGCUACACAGCACAUGCAUAAUCACAGGGUACAAAGCUGCUGAAUUAUUAGCAUCUGCAUCACGUUGGCAGCUGCAGCAUUUGCACGUGUGCCGGGUCUGUCCGAUUUGAGAUGCCCAGGCUGGUUGUUUCCAGGCUAAAUAUACAGCCUCGAGUCAAAUUCAUCUUACUGCAGCUCAUUUGAAAGCCCUGUAAUUAUACCAGAGAUUUAUUUGAUCCCUUCACUUCUGAUUUGUGUUAAAGGCACAUUUCAGUCAUAUAAAUUGUAUAUCGGUAUAUAAAAAAAAGGCUGCUUAUCAAAUGGUUUAAAUGCAGCCAAGUAAUUGCAGCAGUUUCAAAGUUAUUUGUUGAGAUGGAGGAAGACACAGCAAAUGGAUAUUAAUUUUGCUAUAUGAAAAAGACUUUCAUGGAAAACACCUUGAUAACAAAAAAUAGAAAUCACUUGUCUUUCAGGAUUUGACAUCCUGUCUGUUAUUUUCCAUGUAAUCUAUCAUUUAGAAACCUUUACUUGCCAUUUGCUGAAUAUCGGAUUUCAGUGAAUGUUGAGGGGCACUAAAUCACUUAAGAGUACCAGGUCUCAGCAGAAGAGAUUUGACAUUCUUUCUUGUUAGAAUUACCUAGAUUUUUCCAUUGAUAUUCAUACUAUUUUCUUUGAAUGAAUAGAUGCUCUCAGUAAGAAAUCCACUGAGCUUUAUGUGGUUGAAAAAAUUGUUUACAUAGUCAGUGCUGGAGCAGCGAAGUUGCUGAAUGGAUCAGGAACAACUGCUUACAUUUCUUGCAGUUAUUGUUCAGGCAGGGCAAUACAGAAUACAAAGUUGCAUAUGUGACCUCAAAACAAGAAAAAAAAAAAAGAAAAUAAAAGAAAAGGAAAAGGAAGUAUCUCCCCAUCAGUAGGCAACAGUGAUAGCCUUGUACCGGAUGUUUCACAUUUUCAGAUUCCAGUUAAACACCUCUGUAACGUGACCUCACCCACUUAUUUUUAGAGGCUGUUUUUCUACUAAUAUUGUGGCUGCUAAUCAAAGAAUGCAAAAGCACUUCUUAGCAGUGGCUUGCUGAGGGGCGUUUGAUUGUUUCUGCUCUUGGAGCUUAUUUUGUUAUGCUAUGAGACAUAACAGCAAUCUGCAAAUGCAUUCAGCAGCUCGUGCCGAGGCAUGGAGGUGGGAGGCAGGGUUCCCACCAUGGCUGUUAUUCCUUUCUCUUGUUGACUGACUCAUGCAGAGGUGUGCACACAGCUCUUACAUAUGCACACUGUCAGAAAUCAAUAUGAGGGUAGAAGACUUGAAAGCAGAUAUUGCCAGAAAAUUCAAUAAAGCUUAGAAAAGUAUUUCUAAUUUUCUACUUUAUUGAUAGGGGGUCUUUUGUUUGGUUGGUUGGUUUGGUUGGUUGGGGUUUUUUGUUUGUUUUUUGUUUGUUUGGUUGGUUAGUCUUUUUUUAAAGACACUCAAAGAUGCAGUAAUGAUAAGGAAACAUUUCACACAUUUGUCUUUUCCAUCCAGGAAUGAUCCAGUAACUACCUCUGCCUUCAUCUUUAAAGCAGUUUUACUUUUGUAAAUCAGUCCAAGACUACUGGCUUUUAGCAAACAUGAGCUAGUUAAGCAGGGCAUGCAAAUACUGAGGAGGUGGUUUGUCUAUAAUGUAAAGCUUCUCUAGGGACGUUUCUCUUUCUGUGGUCUGGAUGUAUGAAAAUUUACUAGCAGCAUCUGACAAAAAAAACCCAAAAACCAAAAAACAAAACAAAACAAACAAACAAAAAACAACCCCCCCAACAAAUAAACAAAAAAUAAACAAACAAAAAAAUCCUCCACAACUAUAGCUUUUAAAAUAGUUAGCUUUCAGUCUGCAGGUUUUUAAGGAAAAUCUGCUAUUUCUUUCUUCUGUCUGCGUAGUUCUCUGCAUCACUUAAGAAAGAUUUGACAGAUGGAGACAGCUUGUAACAAUGUACUUGAAGUUCUGAAAGACUAAAAUGAGUAAUCAAAACCAUUCCAAAAAUGACUUUUUCAUGAAUCUGUCUAAAAAUAUAUGUCACAGAGAAUUUCAUUCCCUUCCUUUCCACUCCUCUUUUUUGUUUGAAGUAAGGUAGAUAUUUAUAUUUAGCUGUAUCUCAUUAUGCAUGAUUUCCCUUCUCUGUUAGUCACAUCAUGUGUUGGCUUGCAGUUCACCAGUGACGUAAGAUGUUGCAAAAUGUCACUAAUACAUCUGUUAAGUGACAGUGAACUAGAAAUAAAACAAGGAGAUCCCAAAGUGAAUCUCAGCAUCCGUUUCUGCCAUAGUCCACUUUUGAUGAAAUUUAGAUUAUGAUGAGAUAUCUGAAAGAAUUACUCUGAAAUGGAAAAACAUACUUUGCAAUUCCCAGGCCUCAAAAGAUGACUGUAAUCAUGCUCCAAGGGACAGAACACAAAUGCUUCCCUCCUGUCACUUGAAAUAUUUCCUUUAGGCUUAGAGGGCUAUUAGAGGGAUUUGGGUCUACAUACCUGUGGGAACACUUGGCCUGAAGGGCUUCUUUCUUGGUUGCUGUUUCGAGUUGACUUUUGCACUGAAUUCCCAGUCAUCCAUGCUACAAACCCUAACAGGGCUAGGUGGAAAACUGAGGAGAACAUCACAGAUGAUGGGGGAAGAAAUAGUUGUCAGAGCAAUUUUGUUGGUAGCACAACAGAAAGAAGUCUGCAUUUCCAAGUAGAUCCAUACCUAUUCCCUGGCCCACAUUGUGAACAUCCAGCCUGAGGCAUCUCGAGGGUCUGGCUUACACAGGUGCUGAGCACUUACCUUUUUGGUUGUAGCUUUAAUAGUUUUCAUUUCUGAAAAUGAAAUCUAUGAUUUCUCAACACAUCCAUCAUUUAUGGAUGCAUGCAUUAAAAGUAGCAUAGAAUCAUUUUGGUUGGAAGAGACCCUUAAUGCCAUCGAGUCCAACCAUAACAUAAAUCUAGCACUAAACCCUGUCCCUAAGAGCCUUGUCUAUGAUCUGGAUUUGUGUGUGAUUAUAAGUGGAGUGUUAACUAUCUCUAAAUGAAGGAAAUUUCAGAGCUGAGGGCCUCUUUUGAUAAAAGCCCUAGAAGUAUCGGGGUUACCCAUAUAAUUCAGAUCAUAAAGACAAUCCUAAGGUUUUAGAGCCCUCCUAAGCAGCCUUGUUAGAUAGAGAAGAAGAUAAAAUUUUACAUGGAGAAAGUGAACAAAGGCAACUUCUCUGCUAAAUAGACUGUGGAGUACUUUCCUACAGAAAAUAUGCAGGUGCCAUCACUCAAGAUGUUCACAAGACUGACUAAAAAUCUGAAAUAUAUAGGUAAGAUUAAUUCUAUGCUGAAGUAAGGUUCUAAUGUGACUGCCCAUCUCAAACAGCUAUAAUGACAUUCCUUUGCAGUAGCAAACUCAGAAUGAGCAAAGAAUAAUUAGUGCUAAGUAAGGGAGUCCUUUGCCAAAUAAGUGUCCCAUAUUCAAUUAGAGCAACAUUCUGACUGCUGUAGCUUGUCCUGCCUGUCUGCUAUUUUAAGGAAUUGAUACCGCAGCUGGCAGUCAGCAAGGUUUGUUAUGACAGCAAGUGCAUACACAAAUAGUAGAAGUCCGAAGUUGCUGGGCUUCCUAGAAGGAAAUUUUAAACAACCUCACAAGAUCUUAGGUAAAUCGUUUGGACUGGCCAACAAAAAGAUAAAUCCCAGACAUGUGCAACGGUAAAAAUUGUGAGCCUUACAAAGAUGAAAUGACUACAUAAAAUGGUACUCUCUGAAGAGGCCAUAGCUGCCAUGGCAGAGAAGUUUGUUUGUUUGUUUGUUUGUUUGCUUUUAUUUUCAUUUUGCUCUGGGCAUGCCACUGAAUUUAAGUUACUGUAGGUGACAUUAUUCAGGUGUGAUACUGACUGCCAAUAAACUUCUUAACAUUCUAGGUAAGUUUAGACCUAAUUUUGAAAUAGUUAUACUGCACUGAAAAAAACAAUUACAAAUACAUUAUUAAGCACUUGGUUUUGACUGAGUUUUUGCGUAACACAUUAAAUGCAAUGUGUGAGUAACUGGGUUAAUGUGUAAGUCACUGGGUUCUGCUUUCUGAAGCAAGCAAGAAGGUAUCAAAAGUGCCAGUAGAUAAUGACACAAAUCUGUCAUUCUGCCAGUUCUUUCAGUUAAAUUACAUCCUAAAUCCUUACAAUACAUAGCUGUGUACUAGUGAAAAUUUCAGCAAAGGACAGCCAAAGUCUAGCUCUGGAGAACUGAUGUGAUUGCUUGGUAGCCUUGAUCCCUGAUCGGCAACUGAUACAGAGCAGUCUUCAAUCAUCUUAUUUUAAUCCAGACUUUAAACCAAAUUCUACUAUGCCUGUAAGACUUAAGUCCUCAAAUACCUACAUGGUCAAUGGGACUGCUGUUGGAAUAAGAGACUUCUCAUUAAGGUAAUCAAGUGCAUGAGACUCUGACCCUUUGCUAGUAUGCUGUUUCACUUUUUUGCUUUCAGAUUUUUAUUGUCCUUAUAUUGUGUACUCAUCCUAUGUGUUCAUAUGUAGAGUUUUGCAGUGAAAUUACUGCACUAAAAAUACUGUCGAUAAAAAGAAAGAUAAAUGAUGUGGUAUCAGGAAUGACUGUAUCAGUAUGAAAAUUUUUGUGAUAGAGACCUUUCUUGCUAGCAACUAAGAACAGACAGUAUUUUUUUGCCUCUUAUAUGCCUUUUAUCUUUCUAGGAGCGCACACACAAAAAUAUUUCAGAAAGUUUCACAGUGGUAUGGCUGAGGAGAAAGGAAUGACAUCCCAAAGAGCUGGAUCCCUUUCUCCUACCAGGUUCUCCUCAGAGACACUUGCCCAUUAAGGGAAAGAACACAGUUUCAGUUUCAAUGGAUGCAGUUCUUAUUUAUUCUGGGUACAGUUGAUAGGGUGACUCACUGCUCUGCUAAUGAAAGCCUGGUGUUUUGCCUUUAAAAAAAUACAUUCUGAGUUCAUUCAAGCAAACCAGAUUUUACUUGCUGCCUUUUUUCUGCUAUUUUAAGGACGGAGGACAAUGCUAAUAGGUAGAAUUAGAGAUAUAUGUUUGUCCCUGCAUGAGCAUAAAAUGGAAGCACACAAUUAAAAACCCAGUGAACUAGAAAGGAAGGUGUACAGUGAGUAACAGCAGGUGUAUAGGUCUACGUGUCUCAAACAAGGCGUAAUGUGAUCACAAUCUCAGCCUUCCCAUGGAUGGUGAAUAGGAACACGAAACAAAGGAAGAAAAUGGGGCCACAUCCUCCCUUGGUGUAAAAUGUCAGAGUUCUGCUGAAGUAAAUGGGACUGUGCUUAACAGCCUUAGAUACAGAUUUCAUCUUCUCAGCGUUGUCCCCAGUUGAACCCUUGCCAGGCUGCCACGUAUCAGAGAAUUGUACAAUCAUAGAAUGUCCUGAGUUGGAAGGGACCCAUCCAGCUCCUGUCCCUGUGUAAGACAACCCCAAAGUUCACACCAUGUGUGUGAGGGCAUUGUCCGAUUGCUUCUUGAAUACUGUCAGGCUUGGGUACGUGUCAUUCCACCCCAUCUGCCUGAUCUUCAGCUUUCUCUCGUUUAGGUAAAUAGCAACACUUCUCUUCCUGUAACCUGGAUCUCGGGUUAUGCCUUCCUUCAUGGGAUGAAAGCUCUGCUGCUUUGCUCUCCCACCAGCAGCAAUGUCUGCCCCGGGGCUCAGGCGUACAUUUCCCUGAGCUGCUACUCAGUGGGGACUCACAGUCUGUAGUCUCACUUCUCAAGGGCAUGCAUGGAUGUACAGACAUGUGCAAAUACGUUGUACAUGAGAUUAAGCAAUAUGUUAGUUUUUAUUUUACUAACAUGGAAAACAUGCAGAUUAAAGGGGAAGAAAAUAAUGGGCUAAAUCCCAGAUGCAUUUUUUCUUCUGUUUUCUGCUCUGAGUAUUUUGUUUGGGUUUUGGGUCUCUGUGACCAAGUUCCUUAUCUUUCCACCAAGACAUGGAGCAUCUUUCCCUCUCUGCUGGCUGCUGGCCUGUUUGUCCAUUUCUGAUAACCAAAUUGAACAUAAUCCUUCAGCUGCUAUAAAAAUAUGCUGCUUUAUCCCCACCCAGCUGCAUACUGAGUAACUCUGUGCUAUUUCUUGAUCUGUACCACCUCUAUGCUCUUAAAUAAUGCAAUUGCCAGGGAUUUUCUAUUUUCACAUUCAGCAGUAAAAAAGCCCUAUAUUUUUCUGGCUUUAGUGAACCGAUUGCUCAGUGCAUUUUCAUCUGAAAAGGUGGCCUUUUAGGUUUGACUACAGAUUGCAGUUCUUUCAGAAGUGUUACUCAGCUUUUGUUAGUAAACGCAUCUAUAGAAAUGAUAUUCUGUAAUACCAGUAUUUCCAUACUAACAAUUUAAUAAUUUAUAUAUUUUUAAUGAGCUUUAUCCAGUUGACACCCUGCAGUCACAGGUUAAUUAUCUACUUAAGUCCUGAGGGUAUUUUUAUUGUUUAGUGAGUUUAAAGAUAAUUUUCAAAGACAGGCACAGAUUAUAUUUUUCUGAAAGUCAUAAAGGAAAGGACAACAUGAAGUCAGACCUGGAAACUGAAUCUACUGACUGCUUUGAAGAACUUAUUCCUAAGUACUUUACAGCUCAGGUUUCAGCAAAAUGAAGGAGACAGUUCUUACUAUAAUCUGUUUGAAGAGAGGGAAUUAUGGACAUCUUACUUGUAAUUUCAUUAUAAUAAAAUGGGAAAUAUUAGAUAACUGCCAAAAACAAACCUUUAAAGAUAAAUCCUGGCCCACUAAAGAAAAUGGCAGAAUUUCCAGUGCUUGGAAUGGUGCUAACAUAUAAUUUCACUGGUUCAAUGAGGUAAACGAUACAAAACAGACCCUUUUUUAUAUACACUGGUUUCCUGAGUGAAGUGACAAAAUAUAAAAGAUAAGGACAGGUGGCUUCAACAUAUGAUAAAAAGGUUGGAUGUCCAUUAUCAUUUGAGUUAAGGAAAGCCAUAUCAUGUGUCUAUGAGAACAAGCAGGGGAAGUUUAAAUGAUAAUUUGAAGUGCAGACUUCAGCCCAGCACAACUGGAAUAGUACUUGAGAGCAAUGGUCUACCAUGUUGUAGUGACAUUUUGCCAGCUGUAAAGUAAAAUAAGGGCUGUACUGCAAUAACAUCAGAUUUUAAUAUUAGCUCCAGAAGGGAUAAAUUUUAAUUUUCUUGCUAGUUCUAAGAGCACUUUUCUGCAUUGUCUGAUGGAGGAAAAGAAAGUUUUGCCCUCCUCUAAGUGUCCAGUGCACUCUGCUGUUGAAGAGCACUGGAAUUUUCACUUUUACCUGAGUUCUGCUCUUAAAUGUGAACAUACAACAGCAUUCUUCAGGUUCUGAGGGAUGUGCUCUAAUUUGUUCCAGUACACAAUGCAAAAUAAAUUUCACAGAAGAAAAUCUGCUGUUAGCUGGUUAGUCCCACUGGGUAUAUUUGCUUCUAGUAUCCACUGUUAGUUCGCUUGAGAUGGAAAAGCAGAAACCAGACUUACUGUUGUUUCACAUAAAAGCUCCCGCACAGUUUGGCAACUGCACUUUGCAGAGUCAUUUCCUGUGAGUCAGUAAAAAGCUCUCAAAGAGAAAGAAUAGUUUUGCUAAAUUGGAUAAGUAAUACCUGCUUUUAUGAUUUCCAGUCUUGGGAGACUCAUUUUUCUUUAACCAAAUUUCCAUGGUAUUCUAAUAAAAAACACUGGAUGCCAUUUGCCUCUAUUCUCCCUAGAUUUCCACAGCUUUGCUUAUUCAACAGAGUUUUUCAGGAAAGUUUUGUAUGUCCCUCUCCCUGCACACAGUGUUCUGCUGCCAGGUAGGUAAACUUCAGAUUCAGCUACAAGCCUUUAUUCGCACUGUCUCCUAGUGUGCAAGUGCAACACAGAGAAGUGGGCUUUGGAGAAACAGCAUAGCAAAUGCAACUCCUAAGAAGAAAUUAUGUUGAUAGGUUCUCAGUUAAAUUGCACUAAAAUAAUCGUUGUUAAUUGUGUAUUCUUUCAAUGUUCCAGCUUACAGCCCUGGCAGUUCGAAAACACCUAUUAACGACACAGGAAGUACCAUGCAAGAAAUGUCUGUUCCAGCUGCCCAACAGCACCAGCUAAUGUGCUCAGAUCCAUUUUCAGGGGUGAGGAAGCAGGUUGUUUGCUCUAUUCAGCCUGUGCCAGGGUUGCCAGGAUGUUGAACAAAAUUGUGUUUACACAAGGAGUUCUUUGCUGAUAUGAGAAUACCGGUGUGCUCCACUGGCAAAAGGCUUCUCAUGCAAUUGGAAGCUGCAACAGCAGAACUGUGGAAAGUCACCCCUCACAACUGAGACAGCAGUGAGAGUAAAACAGCUCUUUCUUCUGACAUAACCCUUUUUGAAUUGCAGAAUUCAGAUGGUGUGGCUAUGUUGGGGCAGAGGUGAAAGGAGUUGAAAGCCAACUUCCUUCCAAAUUACUAUGGGCAGAGUGUACAUUUCUGAGUAAGUGUAAGUGUGAGGAAAAGAGGUGGAAGAGUGGGAACACUAAGAGUCAUAAAAGUUCUCCUGUAAGUGCUCUUAGAGAUUUGAGACUCACUUCAUGUAGACAGCUGCCAAUUUGUGUUUUGUACUUAGAUGGAAUUGCAUCAUCCCAUGGAAUAAUCUAGGAGGUAAAGAUGAGGAAGGAGAAGUGAAACAUUGAUACUCCAAACAUUAACAUAAGCACAAGAGUAGAAACUGGACAAGAACAAAUUUAGUCUUCAAAGCAGAAGAAAAUUCCUGACCAUUAGAGGACUAACAUCCUGUAAUGGUGUCCCAGCAGAAAAAUGGUAGGGGCAAGAAGUGCUUAACUACUGAGGGACUGACAGUAGCAUACUGGUCACAAACACACUUGGUGACCCAGGAAGACCCUCGCAGUCUUAUGUUCCAAAUAAAUAUUUUAGGAUUUACAACAGAAGAUAGUUUGUAAAAAUUUAGGAAUACAACAGUACUGUGUCCUGGAUGUCAAAUGGAAAAGAGUCUCAGCUCCAAAAAAUAUCUGGGUGAAAAACGCUACUCUACGUUGAUAUUCCUGGCUGAAGCUGUUUGAGCCCCUGAUGAUGUAUAAGAUCAAUGCAAGAAAUCAGCAUGAAAAUAAGCAGAUAGAGUUAUUUUUAAAGGGGGAGCAUGUGGCAGUUUGCAGAAGGCUGCAGAGGGAGCAGUAUCCAACAGGUCACCUCUGUCCACAUCAAGUCCCUUUGUGGGGUACAUCCACUAAUGGACUUCUCAGAAAGAAAAGAAAAUGAUUGUAGAUAUAUAGAUACACAGGUUCUUCCCUGUCUCCACUGCUGACCUGUAGUUCUGUAUCACAAGCAGCAUUUCUUCCUGAGCUGGAUGUACACUCCCGUUGCUAAUGAAGAGGGAAACAUCCGCAGGAGUAAGAAUAUGACCUGGAUGGCAUCAGGUAACCCAGGAGAAAAAUGCUCCUCCCUGCCUGUCAUUGCUGGUUCUCAGAGCUAUUUUUUUCUAACUCCCGAUUUCUGCCUUCAAGGUAUUGCUAGAUGUUGUCAAAACUGUAAACAAUUUGAACCUGUCCUGCAGAACUGUUUUUCUUUGUUUUACAGUCAUAGAUCCAUUUAAAGCAGCGCUGCCUUUUAUAGCAAAAACUACACACAUGCUUCCAGUGGUGUGAAUCACAUUACAUGCCAAUUCAAAUGCUGUAACGGUACCUUAUGUAGUGGAAAUGCCACCAUCUGGUGGUUGCAUCACUGCUGAAAUGCGUACUGGCGGGGGUGGAAAGAGGGAUUGAGCUGCCUUCGCUCAGUGAGGAAAUCCUGGUUUAGAUUUAGACUAAGGCUCCCUAAAAAUCAUUUCUCCUGGACAGCAUUUCACAGUACAGAUGUGCCAGAUAAGCCCAGCAAUGCAGAGUAGGAGAAGACACCAGAAUGAAUGUUAUUUUUUUAUGAUGGGAAACUAUCACUGGGAAGCUUGCGAUGUUCAGACACUUCUAACAUGAGCUUUGUUUCUGGUUGUUUUUUUCCAGAGAGGUUGGUAGGACAGAGUCUCAAGGUGACUUCUUUAAGAAGCACAUAGAGAGGCCUCCUACACACUGCUUGAAAAUGCAGCUUCUCCCUCCUCCUGUUUAAAUGCUUUCUACAGGCUUGUGAAAAGGAAGGUCUGACACUGGCAGAAACUUAUUCUCUCCCUAUGAGAUGCGCUCUACAGGAUCUUACUUUCUCCUGUAUUUUCUUUUUUUUUCUGUCAAUGUCACUUUGUUCCAGGGAGGCUUUUGUUAGGGCGUAAUUGUAUAUACAUCCUUCUGAGCUAGCUCAGUGAGUUUUGUCAUGAUUGUCACCAUGUUCUGGGCUGAGUAAAAAUACUCUUGAAAUAAUUAAAAAAAAAAAGAGUUAUUAUAUUCCUGCAUAUCGGGAGGGCAGGGCAGCAGAGGAACAGAGAUGAUCUGUAUUUAACCUAAGACAGAAGAGAGCAUGGUGAGUCUUAAUGUUUAGCUGAAGAAAGAAAUGGGUGGUAGAGCAGACCAGAAGCUUUCCUGCUUUUUGAUAGAAGAAUUUUGAGUCUACCUAAUUUUUGGAAACCAGAUUUGUGAUUAGGUUGCUAACAUAUUUUGUGCUGUAGUUAAAGCCUGAAUUCACAGGAAAACGGAUUCUCACUGUAGAGCAAAGCCCUGCUCUGUGUGGCAGAACAGAGCUACAGAGUGGGACAUUCUGCACAACUUGUGAAACAUUUAAAAUGAAGCUUUGAUGCAACACAGCAAUAUGUUAUAAGGAAUACUUUGUGUAAGUGACCUGCAGAAAGCAAAGUUUUUUUCCCUUGUUCCAACCACUUCUUAUUAUUCUCAAUUACAUUUAUAACUCUUGAAUAUGCUUCUCCUCACAGACUUGUAUGGUGCCUAGUCCAAGGGACCUCAGUCUCUAAUGGGAUCCAUUGGCAGGAUUACCAUGUAAAACAGAUGUUCUUACCAUGCACAAAUUCCUCCAACAGUGACAGAAGCCAGUUCUUGUCUCUCCUCUUUCCUGAUUAAUUCUUGGAUGCAGAUAGCAGAGGGUGGGUAGGAGAUAUAUCCAUGUGUGUUAAAUCCCAUGAAGUAAAAUAACUAAGGUACAUGGAUGGUGGGCUCUGGUACUUCAGGGGAGCACUGGAGAUACCACAGGGUGCAUGCAGGACACCUAGCUCAGUCAUAUUGCCCAUCCAGUCAACAAAUUUCUCUACCCAGGUGUAAAUAAGCACAAAAAAAACAUGCACAUAAAAGAGAGAAUAGUUCACACUUAAUUUGCUGCUGAAUUCCUCCUACUUUUCCUCAACCUUUGUAAAACAUAGUUGUGAAUGCAUGUCACAGUUUUUCAACUGGCUACUCUCAGCUGCUUCUUGCAUCUCAUAUCUCUUGGUUCCCAGUUCUGCUGUGUAUGUUAUAACUGGUGAGAAAGGCUGGACCUAUGUGACUGAAAUACAGCAAACAGCUUCGCAGUUGAUUUUGCCUCUCUAUUGUUAGGAAACAUCAGACUGUUUGAAAGAUGAUCACACUCGGAAUUGUAAACUUCUCCCUCACGAGCUCUUUGCGAGUUGAUGAUUAAACACAUUAGCUUAAAACUAGGGAUGACUUGAAAAUAUUUUGUCGAAGGAUAACUUCUCAUUCCAGACAUUUUUACCCUUGUGCUGACAUAAUUUUGGUUGUCGGAGUCCCUGAGCUUCCUGUUGGUUGUAUUCAUUACCCAUGGAUGCCAAUGGCAAGACCAUACCCUGUCCCACUGUGUCUGGUUCCUCCCAACAAAGCCAGCAUGCAGUGAUAUCCGCUAGCAAACAAACAGAGGAAAAAGACCUGGAAAGCAGGUAUCUUAACUUGCUAUAUGCAAGGCCAUCUGUCAGCUACCUAGCAGGUAAAUGUAUACUGGCUAGCAAGUGUGUCUUGUUGAAGACUUAAUUGUCUAUCACUAUUACUAGUUACUGAAUGCCAACAAUCUGUUCCCUGGCAUACAGUAGGAGACACAGUUUUCUUGUCCUCAAACAGGUCUCAUGAAACUAUAGUGAGAGAAGAUAAGUAAUAAACAAUAAUGAACCACUUGGUUCAGCUUAACUCUUGCAGAAAUAAAUUUCUUCCCCUGCUUUCCCAGGAGGUUUUUCUCUUUCUCAGAUUCUCUCAAAAAUGCACUGAAACCAGGAAAAAAUGGAUUUAUGCAGGUGUUUAUAAUGUGCCAUCCUAUUUAAUUUGCUCCUAAGCAGUGACUGGGAUUACUGUAUUGUCUAAAUAUGUAUAAGGAGGGAAUUUAAGCCACAGGGAUUUCAAGCUCUCUUGUUACCUAAUCCUCCUCUCAGACAGCUACAUCAUCCAAUUAGCGCUGGUUCUGUCAAGACUUUCAGACUCCUCUGAGAAUAAAAUAUUGUUUCAGGUCCAUGGGGACAUACUCUAGAGCAAGACAACCUAUGUCCUCUAAACACGGGAGCUAAACUCCCCUGCUUCCUCCCCAUAACUGAAGCUUCUGAGAAAAAGCAACCGAAAAUAAAGGAUUUCUGAAGUAAUUUUUAAAUGCAUGAUGGGCUUUAUAUUACAUUACUUCUAAAUUUCAGAUUAGCCUUAAUAGAAGUGUAUUACUAAAUAAUUCAAUAGUCAGAAGAAUUUCAGAUUCUGUCUGAUUGAAGACUAUAUGAAGGAGAACAUACAGUGUAAACAGACAGAGAAACACUUUUAUACAGACUAAGUAACUUAGCCACCUCUUUUGCAAAGUAAGUUUGCUGACUAGACUAGGCUACACAACAGCAGCAGCAAACAGUAAACCCAAUAAACUAUGUGCUGGGAGUGUUCCCUCACCUGCUACCUGAAUCCUUGGGCCUGUAUGUUUAUAUGAAUUAACUUAAUGCCUGAAUGAGGUGAUAAAAAUAAGUAAGCAGCAUGUGGCCUAAAGUUCUUUUGAAAAGUGGGACUUAUGACUUCAUGCAAUCUUGAAAAUUACAAUUCAGUUUGAAAAUUCAGAGGAACAAUGAGAUGGCUGACCUGAACUGGAUCAUUAAAACAAAACUGCUGUUCAGUUCUCUCCAACAACUGUGGUUUCAUUUUUAAUUUUCCACUAAGUUGAAGCUGGGUUCCUCACUGAUGUCUAGUACAAUGUGUCACACAGGUUACUCCCUGCUUUGCUCAGAAGAGAGAAGACUAAAUAACAACACGUGCUGCAGAUGGCCAUUUUUCAUUUAUUGCCAUGCAUAAAUCAGGGUCCAUACAUGCUGAAGUUUAUCUAUGGAAAUCUACAAUCUUAUUAUUUCUCUCCCUCACAGGUCUAUUUUUUGUUUAUAUGUCCUUCAGUUUUCUUCUCCUGUUACCUUUAAAAAGGGUGGGGGCUUGUUUGUUUGUUUGUUUGUUUGUUUUCCCUUUUUGAUUGAUUUUCUGUCUUAAGUGUAACUUUGCAUAGUAGCCUGAGGGAAAUACUCCAAUCAGGAGAAACAGGUGAUUAGGUGAUGUUGUGGCUUGAUUUUUAUCACCUUUUCUUUGACUUUUCUCAGGAAUGCUAUUGCCGUGCUGGAAGAUGUUAAUGGCUGCCAUAAAAUUUGUCUUUGAUCUGCAGAAAAUUCCAGGCCUCAUUAAUCCCCUGGUUAUGGUGGGCACCCUCCAUUCAGUCUAAACAAGAAGCAGCAGCUAGGCUCUUAUAUGAAAUAAAAUUGCUGAAAACAGUAGAAGCCACCACCCAGGCAGUUAUCCUACAAAGAAAAGCUCAAGCAUGAACUAAUUUGUGAAGAACAAAGAACUUUUCUGGGAAAUUAUUAUAUAUUCACUGGCUGAGACAUCAACUGAUAUGAGCUAUGUGUUUAAAAGUAAUCAGAAAGCUGUGAAAAAAACAAAUAGACAAUAUGGGUGGCCCAGGGAGAAAGCCAAAAGAAAAAGCUUUGGUUGAGCAGAGUACCUACUGAAAAAGGAGAGCUGGAUUUCUGAGCAAGGAAAUAACCUUCUGCUGUUUGUUCCUAACAGAUUGAGUGAAACAAGACUUUGUGUACAUUCUUUGCAAAUGCAGAGGAUUUCAUUGGAGAAACAUAACCUGGCCAGAAUCAACAGCUCCUUGUGCUGAAAGAAACAUGUUAAGAUCGUAAUUGGUGGCUGAAUGUUUGAUUAGGACAACAGUUCAUUGAAAAUGUGUGUUAUUUUGUAAAGUUUGUUUGUUUUCUGGGAAUGUAGACUUUUUGUGAGAAGUCAAAUUCGUAUGACCAGCUCAGGGAGGCUCAGGGAACUGCGGCAUCAAGCAGCUCAGACUGUCUUUCCUUUUUCACCAUGACAAAUUGCAGCAUAAAUCUGGCAACUGAGUGAUCCUCAUGACUGUGCAGGUGAAUAACCAAAUUCUACUAGAUUGGGUGAAUUUAGUUCUCAGAAUCCUUGGAAAGAUAGUUCCCACUUUUAGUGCAAUAUAAGAUUAAGUAAGGUUCAAAGACCAUAAAUCUGUGCUGAGUUGAGCCUAAAGCUAUAUAGAGAUGUUUCAGGCUACUAAACUGGCUUGGUCACUGUCAGAGCCCUUUUGAAUGCAUAUAAUUGCUUUAAAGAAACUUUUGUUGUCAAUGGGAGUUGGGUCAGUGAAGUUUUAUUACCGUAGUUUAAAGAUAGAGCAUUAAAAACCUUAUUUCUGCUCUGACACCCCUACUAACAUGAGGCUUUUUCCUAAAUUGUGUGAAGUAGUGUGUUGAAGUAGUGUAUCUGAUGUCUUUUGAAUUCCUGCUCAGAAGAGUGCAUAUUAAAAAACAGAAUCACAGUUUUUCCACUUUUUAUAGAUUUGGCAGGGGACUUAAGAUCUGAAAGGAAAAGGUAUCUGUACUAUAUCUCUCCUCUCCUUUCCAACCUACUGUGUGCCAAUGAGCACGUAUGCUGUGUAGUUUGGGGAGUUUGUUCCUCUUCAGUCUUCUCAAUAUCUGUUCUACAGAGGAAAAACCUACCUGUUCAGCCAUUUGAGAAGUGCAAACUUUGCUUUGGAAAUUCUUAAUAGACUGCAUUUUAUUUUGGCUAAUUUUAUUCCUACAGUUUGUUUGUAAAAUGGAAAACAGAAGAAAAGAACAUACAGAGUAUACCAAUGCCUUAAGCAAAAAUAGCUCAGCUAUCUAAGCUGACCUGCUGUUGGAAAAUCUCCUAAGUAACUCCGAUCCCUCUCUUCAUCAUUCUCUCAUCUCCAAAGUAAUAAAAGUGGAGUUAGAACAGCAAACACCUGGCAUGUUGGUCACGCAGCAUGACUUUACAUUGUAAUCAUCUCAUCAAGGAGCUGAAAAUAGCAUUGUACUGCAGUGUUCGAGCGGUACAGCUUCAGGAAGGAAGACAAUAACCAGCAUUUGGCAGCAGCCUACACGCUAACUGCGAGCGAUACAGACGUAUUCCACAAAUUGUAUCCCUCGUCUAAUCUUGAAAAUAUUUACCCUGCAUCCCCUGGCAAUGCAUCACUGGGGCCCACACGCUUCUUGUCUCCUAGUACAAGGUGGUGGGCAUUCACUGUGAUGCACAUAACCAUAAAACAGUCUUCCGUAUAGCAACACUCACUCCAGCGUUCAACAAAAUCCUGCAUAAAAUGAACUUAAUUCUAGGAUGUUCAGUGUGCCAUACAAAUUAUUGGAGAGAAUGGCACAAAAAAACUUUGUUUGAAUGAAUUAAAGUGAAUCACGAGCAGGUAAGAAUCAUGAUACACGGUUACUAGACUGCGCAACAGUCCAGGAAUAUAAGACUUAAAGUAGAAAUUUGGACAAGAGAUCUUGCCUGAAGAUAAUUUGUGAAGGAGAUCAAGAGGGUGGAAAGUGUCUCAGCUAAUCUGGCACCGAGGCAAUGCCAUGCAGGAUUAUGGGGACCACAGGGGUUAAAAAGAGGAUAGAAAAUAGGCACUGUUUUCCAAAAGUGGAUGCCAUAGUGCCAGAAAAACUUCUUAUAACUUUCUUGGGAAAAAAGCACAAAUUUUGAAACAUGUAAAUCUGAGUAUUUUCAUGUUCAGUCUUACACACUCAUUCAUACACACAGCUAACAAAUUAAUCAGUAGACUAAUGGUGCUUGUACAUUUUUGGCUUUGGGGAAAUACAUCUUUCAUUAUGAGUAGUUUUUUAUCGCAUUAUAUCAGCACAGCUCUCUGGGUUACCAUCUGUAGAAAUACAGUGGAAGUAACAAGAUCAUCAAAAGGAAUAGGACUAGAGCACAGCACCUUUGCGUACUAGCAAUUUUCAUUCAAAUUUGAUGUUAUGUUGGCACUUGCAUUCACUAGCCUGAAGAAGCUGGUGGAGAUAAUCUCUGAUCUAAGUAUGAUUACUAAAUUGUGGCAUACUAGAAACAUUAAAGAAUUCUGAGUGCUAAGAUUGUAACAGUUUUCCGAAUGUCAGGUAGGAUUAACCAGAUAUCUGUGGAGAAUUCUGCUUGUCCUCAUUCCCAGGCAAUAUGAUCAGAAAGCUGAUAUUCCACUGAUUGAGUAAUAUAGGUAUAAUCAGUACAACUCUAUGUUAUUUUAUAGAAAAUGGUCAAACAAAUAUGCUUUCAUUCUCUGAGGAGAUUACUUCCAUGCAAACUUCUUCAUUUACCAAACUCACAGUCUGCUUGGUCAUUUUCUGGACACUUGAGCUAAUAUGGCACGGCUUUCUGAUUAAAAAAAAAUAGUGCUAUAUAAAAUAAUUCAAGCAUACUGCAUUACAUAAAUUAAGAACUGCCUAACCAGCAGGCCCAAAAAAAGCAAACACCAAAGGGAAUUGCCCUCAAAUGGAGAUGCUUCUACUGAAGUUUGCAGGAAUUGGUGUUAAGCCAUAACGUCGUGCAAUAUUUUCUUCUGCUGAAAAAAACUGUAGAUAAGAAAAGAAGAGCAGAACAAUAAUUAAGGAAGAGGGCAGGAUAGUUGUACAAAACAACCUGUACUGUGUAGUAAAACAGAUCCCUGUUAAAUAAAGUUAUCUAUUAGCACAGUCAAAGCUAAACUGUCUAUGCAGAAGCAGGAAAUACAAAUGUAAUAAAAGCAUUUUUUUUUCACCAGCAUUUGGAUGCUAUUCAGAAACAGGCUUCUGUUCUCUACGGAGGAUUUUGGGAUUAUAGAAAACAAUCAGUAGAUUUUAGCUGUGAGGAUAUGGAGGAUAACACUGGAAGUAGAAACAGGAGAACAACAAAUGGUAGAAGGCAGGCAACUUUUCCUCCUUUGUAUUUUAUGGGUGAUGCUGCAGAGGGCAAGGCAUAAAGAAGAGCCUCAGAAAUAUUUUUUUAAAAUGAAGAAAAUGGAAAGAUUGUAAAGAUUCAGAGUUCAGCUUAUUAAAACAAGAUGACAUUUAAUUACAGAGUGUAAGUACGACAAGUAGGAAGAAAAUAGUGGUAACUGGAGGGUUUUUUAUUCUAGCAGAGAACAGCAUUAUGAGAAAUGAGGGAUGUAAGUUAAACCCAUGUAAUGUUAAAUUGGAAAUAAUCAAAUUUUUUCCAACACUGAAGGUGGUUACCUUUUGGAAAAUGCUUCAAAGGGAAACACCAAUUUAUCUAUUUAAAAUAUCUUUAGAUUAACAUUUGAAUUGGGCCCGAUGCUGAAACAAUCAGAAAAAAGUUAAGAUUUGUACAAUGAGUGACUCCUUUUCUCACCCUUAGAACUUUUGCAUUCAUUGCAGGUGAUGCCUUAAUAUCCUGUUUCUAUACAAGCAUUCAAUGUAGGUGUAUUUUUAAUGCAGUUUACUUGUCUGAGUUCCCCUUUUUGAACAGUAUAUUAUGUGGUCAUCAUGAGGGUAGGGCCUAAUCUGUACUUUUGAAUCAACAGGCAAAAUUUAGUCUGCUCUCCUGUGUUUUUGUUGGGGGGUGUGUGUGUGUGUUUGGUUGGUUGGUUUGGUUUGUUUUUUUUGUAGCUUCCUUGGUUGGUUGGUUGGUUUUCUUUGUUUGUUUUCACUUGGAUUGACAAACUUUAUUUUCACUUUGCUGUUCUUGUGACAGGGAGCUAGCAGAAGGUAAAACAUGGUGGGCAUUUUUAUAAAAUGAAAUUUUAAGCAAUGGUUUUGCUAAUGCAUUAUUGUUUCCCAAGGGUCUUCUCAGGUGAAAAAUGAAAACCUGAUUUCUAUUUUGCUGUGAGAUAUGCUGAUGUGUCCCAUACGCUAUCAUAUUUUCAUGCUUCGCAAACAGGUAACUUUAGCUAGAGGAAGACAUGAAAAAUAUGUAAAAUUAAGACAUUUAGAAAAGGAUGAAGGAGAGAGCAAUCUAUAAUAAAAGAUAAUGCAGUUUGGCAUGUUUGAAUUCUAUGUGAUAUUCAGCCUCAUUAUUUUUCCCCAGUGGAAGUCAAGGAGUUUUCAAAUAAUUAUGUUUUAUCACAUUGUGUAUGCUGAAACAAGAGAAGAAGAGAGAAACUGCCCAUAACUCUUUUGCACACGACUGUUUAUAAUUUUUUUGCAGAUUUUAACCUCUUUAAUUGCCUCUCUUAGCAAUCCAUCACUUCUGCUGCUUAUAUUUGCUAAAAUAAUAUAAAUUGAAGAAAAUCAGCUCUGGCACACUACGUUUUAAGAUAUAAAGAUAUAAACACACUGGAGAGUAGCUACUUGAAUCAGAGCAGUUAAGCAGUCAUGGCUAAAACUAGUAAUUUAAGAUUGAUGACAGCUGUCUUUGCAACUGGAAUAUGAGAUGAAUAUACAUUUACCACUGCUUGCGUUCAUUCUUUCUAGGGGCUGAAACCAUAAAUGUAUCAGUUUCUAGCUGCCUGGCACAGCAAAAAUGAGCGUUGUGUCUUGUGCCCCUUCCAGGUUUAGGUUUAUAGAUCCUAGAUUGCACAGUGCGUGGCUGCUGAAUAGUAAAUGGGAUUUGAUGCUUUUCUCUGUGAGAUAUUGCUUUAGGAUUCAGUUAAUGGUAGAGGAAACUUCUACCUAUUUGAUUUUCAUCUUAUUGCAAUUUUUUUUUUUGGACUGGUGUCACAAAAACACACCAGUAUGACUUGUACCAUGGUCAGUAAUUCUGUGAGAGAAAAAGACAGAAAAGUGAGGAAGAGUGAUUUAUCAUGUCAUUUCUGAGAGUGGGCCUCUUCUGCUUGGAGAUGGAGCCAACUGGCAGUAAAAAAGCUCACGCUGCCACUUGGCACUUACAGCCUUAGGCUGUCAACAACAAUACUUAGCAUUUAUAUAAUGCUGUACUGGCAUUAGCUAAUUAAUUCUUACAACACUACUGGGAGAUGAGUCACCAAACACCUUUAGGAAGACCUUCAUUUUAAUACCUCUGGCAAUGUUAUGUACCGAAAUGCACAGAUUACUGGUAUUCAUCUCGGAAGCUAGAAGGUGACAUAAAUAUUUUAUCACAUUUUUUUAAAUAAAAAAAGAAAUAAUAUAAAAAAAAAUCUCAGAAGAUUAGUAAUGAAAGAUGUUCAUGCUUUUAAACCUUUAUUCAAAUCCACCUUGUGUCAGUAGUGAAUAAAAGGGAAUUCCACCAGACAACUGGUUAAUUUCAGAUGAAAUCUCAAGGAAUAGUAACUGGUGCCAAAAGAAAACACACCAAUGUACUUGGGAUAAAAUAAAUCUCCUUCAGAUUGUUAACAUGGAGGGAAAAGCAUUGAAAAUUAAAAUAUUUGUGUUUCUCACCUCGACUGCUGGGCCUCCUAGGCAGAGUUGAAAGAUGCCAUUACUCUUCCAGAGCAGAUCAACACUGCUUGCCAAAGCAAACCCUGCUUCAGCAUGUGGGAAUUUAUUUCUUCCCCACUUACAAAGUCCCAUUUUUGGGGGUGAGGAGUGGUUUGAAGCCUCAUGCUGUUCUUCACCUGUGGUGGGCACAGCCACAGUACUGUUCCUGGCAGGCUAAAGUUUAUCUUUGCACUUUUCCCUCCUGGUAGGUGAUGGCCGGUGAUAGUCUUGCUGAGGAACAUUCUCUCUGGUGCCACCCCAGUUUCUGCUCCUUGUGGGGUGCCCCACAGCCAGGAGGGCAGUUCUGGGGCUGCUGACAGUGCCUGGGCUCUGGCAAACCAUCAGCAGUGCAGCCCUUGACAAUGUCUUGCAGGUGACAGAGAGAGGAAUAGAGUGCUUACACUAGUGCUGUUUCUAGCAGAGGCAGGUGUACCAUAUAUGGUAAAAUGCUGGAAACAUAAAUGUGUUGUUGAGAUACAAAUGAAUGGAUUCUCCUUUUGGGCUCACCCAGAGCAUCUCACUUCCUAGCCUGGUAAUUGCUCCCGAGUCUUUCUACUUAGAAGUAGUCUGCUCUCUCCAACUCAUCUACAAAACACACAAACUGAUAACUUUCCUGUGAGUACUAUAGCUGCAAAUGAAGGACAAGUAAGACCUUUCAGAACGGAACGUGCCAUCACAUCUGUGUCAGCCAAACAGGCUGCUGUUUGUUGUAUUAUUACUACAUACUAGCACACAGAAGUACGCUUCUGUACAUGGAAGUACAGGAAACUUCUGGUACUUCUCUUUCUACUGCAGGCCACUGCUUUUUACAGAGUAGGAAUUAUUUGGAAUUAAUCUACUCAGAAAAGACAUUGCUCACAUUCCUGAAUAAAAUAAUUUAUCUUAAAAUCAAUGUAUUGCAUUUGGAGUCACAUAUCCACAAAAUUUUUAUGGAUUUAUUGGUUUGCUACAAGGAUUAUUGAACCCAAAAUACAUCAUAAGGACUUAUCUCCCCUACCAAAAAAACCCUGUUACUAGGCAUAGCCUGUUAAAAUAUAAUACCUAACAUAGAUAAUGUGACAUCUUUACAUUCUACAUAUAAUGAUACCAAACAUGCAAAAACUAACCCUGGAAGUUGCUAUAAUAUUGAUGUUUUGGAUACAUCAUGUGCAUGUAUAUUUGUGCAUGUAUAUUUGUGCACAUAUGUAUGUAAACAUAUAUUUAGUAUAAUAUUAUAAUAUUUAAUAUAAUCUUAGUAUGAUCUAUAGGUAUGCACAUAAUAAAGACAUUUAUGUUGCAAUUUUUCUAGAUUGCCACAGGUACAGUUUUGUUUAUGUAAAAUGAGAGCACACAUCAGAGUUAUCUGUCAAUUUAAUGUACGUAAGACAAUAAUAAAAAACAGUGUGCAAGUAAUCUGUACCUAUUUCUUUCACCACAGAACCGUAACUUGUCUGGCAACAUAUUUAGAGUGCUGUAUUCUGUGACAGAGUUUUAAUGUAUGUAACAAUGUGGUUAAUAUGUGUGAUAUUUUUUUAAAGCUCAAAAAGUAGCCUGUAAAUAUUCAGUAAUAAUCUGUAAUUGAGUUCAGGGUUGAUUUGUUCUCUGUGUUAGAAUUAAAAUAAAUUUAGGAAAUUGUUUCAGAAGGUACCUUUAGAAACUGCUUUUCAGUCAAACACCUCAGAUUUAACUUGCAUACAUUCAGAAGCAGCCAGUAAAGCUACUUAAUAAUGGAGAGCAUGUGAUUUCAUUAACGAGCAUGAUUUAAGCCUGUAGUUUUUAACAGUUUAUAAAAAAGGUGAAAAAUUAUUCUGGACAACAUUUCUGCAGCUUGUCUAUAAACAGGCUUCAAAACAGACUUCAAACUUUUUGAGGAACUAUCUUCUUAUACUGAAGAAUGUCCAUUGCAAGAGAUUACAAGCUAGCAGUUUAUUUGUAUAAACUUUGUUUUCAAGUGUUGCAUCACUGUGUGUGUUUUGAUAAACUGGUCUCUAUUACUUAUCUUCAUUAUUUUAAAAAAGUCUCAAAGAUAACCCUACUGCCUCAUUGAAUGCAAAUAAAUUUAGUACAAAACUGGGAGCAGUGGCUGAUACACCAGAAGGUUGUGCUGCCUUUCAGAGAACUCUGGACAGACUGGAAAAAUGGGCCAACAGGAACCUCAUGACAUUCAACAAAGACAAAUGCAAAGUCCUGCACCUGGUGAGAGAUAACCUCAUGCAUCAGUACACACUAAGGGCUGACCAGCUGUAAAGCAGCUCUGCAGAGAAAGACCUUUGAGUCCCUGGCAGGCGAGAAGUUGAUCAUGAGCCAGCAGCUUGCCAUCCGGGCAAAGAAGGAGUGAGACCAACACAGGACCACCAGAAUGAUUAAGACAUUGGAGCAUGUUUCACAUAAGAAGAAGCUGAGAGGGCUGGGAUCAUUCAGUCUGGAGAAGAGAAGGCUCAGUGGUGGGGGAGAGGGAUGUUAUCCAUGUGUACAUCACAUCUACGUUACGGGGAGGGAAUGAAGACUUUUCUCAGUAGUGCCCAUUGACAGGACAAGAGGCAACAGGCACAAAUUAAGACACAUGAAAUUCCAUCUGAACAUAAGAAAACACUUUUUCACUGUCAGGUGAUCAAAUGCUGGAUCAGGUUGCCCAGAGGCACUACAGAGUUUCCAUCCUUGGACAUACUCAACACCCAGCUGUCCAUGUUUUUUGGGCAACUUGCUCUAAAUGACUCUGCUUGAGUGGGUGGGAGCGGACUAGAUGGUCUCCAGGGGUCUUUGCCAACCUAAAAACUUCUGUGAUUCUGUGAAGACAAACCAGUGAAACCCUCUGAAAUUUGGUAGUAUAUAGGAAAUAUUUUUACCAGUAUCAGGGCUUUCAAAAGCUCUCUGAGACCCUCAAACAAA
Long non-coding RNA from Columba livia (rock pigeon), 24952 nucleotides. RefSeq lists it as uncharacterized. The transcript is spliced from 4 exons. The record is from RefSeq and is a predicted model, not a curated record. Lineage: Eukaryota; Metazoa; Chordata; Aves; Columbiformes; Columbidae.